AGCAGCCGCCGCGGUAAUACGGAGGGGGCUAGCGUUGUUCGGAAUUACUGGGCGUAAAGCGCACGUAGGCGGCUUGGUAAGUUAGAGGUGAAAGCCUGGAGCUCAACUCCAGAAUUGCCUUUAAGACUGCCGAGCUAGCAGGUGAGAGAGGUAAGUGGAAUUCCGAGUGUAGAGGUGAAAUGCGUAGAGAUCGGGAGGAACAUCAGUGGCGAAGGCGGCCAUCUGGGACAACACUGACGCUGAGGCACGAAAGCGUGGGGAGCAAACAGGAUUAGAUACCCCCGUAGUCCCUGUCUCUUAUAC
RNAcentral lists this ribosomal RNA (303 nucleotides) under uncultured bacterium. RNAcentral's name for it is "partial 16S ribosomal RNA". It matches the Rfam family "Bacterial small subunit ribosomal RNA", at positions 507 to 807 of the family's 1533-position model. The record is from RNAcentral.